AAAACGACUCUCGGCAACGGAUAUCUCGGCUCUCGCAUCGAUGAAGAACGUAGCAAAAUGCGAUACUUGGUGUGAAUUGCAGAAUCCCGCGAACCAUCGAGUUUUUGAACGCAAGUUGCGCCUGAAGCCAUUAGGUUGAGGGCACGUCUGCCUGGGCGUCUCGC
This 164-nucleotide ribosomal RNA is filed under the name Impatiens adenioides. RNAcentral's name for it is "5.8S ribosomal RNA". It matches the Rfam family "5.8S ribosomal RNA". From Rfam's summary of the family: 5.8S ribosomal RNA (5.8S rRNA) is a component of the large subunit of the eukaryotic ribosome. It is transcribed by RNA polymerase I as part of the 45S precursor that also contains 18S and 28S rRNA. Lineage: Eukaryota; Viridiplantae; Streptophyta; Magnoliopsida; Ericales; Balsaminaceae. The record is from RNAcentral.